Molecule: ribosomal RNA, 515 nt
Filed under: uncultured bacterium
Lineage: Bacteria
Description: bacterial SSU rRNA
Rfam family: Bacterial small subunit ribosomal RNA
Source: RNAcentral
GAUGAACGCUAGCGGCGGGCCUAACACAUGCAAGUCGAGGGGCAACAUGAAGUCUAUUAUUAAUAGAUUUCGAUGGCGACCGGCGUACGGGUGCGUAACACGUACGUAACCUACCUUUUGCUAGAAGAUAGCCUGAGGAAACUCGGAUUAAUAUUCUAUAAUAUAAUAGAAUCGCAUGAUUUUAUUAUUAAAGCAGAAAUGCGGCAAAAGAUGGGCGUGCGCCCGAUUAGUUAGUUGGUAAGGUAAAGGCUUACCAAGGCUAUGAUCGGUAGGGGGCCUGAGAGGGUGAUCCCCCACACUGGUACUGAGAUACGGACCAGACUCCUACGGGAGGCAGCAGUGAGGAAUAUUGGUCAAUGGAGGAAACUCUGAACCAGCCACGUCGCGUGCAGGAAGAAUGCCUUACGGGUUGUAAACUGCUUUUGUUUAGGAAUAAAAAUUCUUACGUGUAAGAAUCAUGAAUGUACUAUACGAAUAAGUGUCGGCAAACUCCGUGCCAGCAGCCGCAGUAAUAC